GAUGAACGCUGGCGGCGUGCCUAAUACAUGCAAGUCGAGCGAACGGACGAGAAGCUUGCUUCUCUGAUGUUAGCGGCGGACGGGUGAGUAACACGUGGAUAACCUACCUAUAAGACUGGGAUAACUUCGGGAAACCGGAGCUAAUACCGGAUAAUAUUUUGAACCGCAUGGUUCAAAAGUGAAAGACGGUCUUGCUGUCACUUAUAGAUGGAUCCGCGCUGCAUUAGCUAGUUGGUAAGGUAACGGCUUACCAAGGCAACGAUGCAUAGCCGACCUGAGAGGGUGAUCGGCCACACUGGAACGGAGACACGGUCCAGACUCCUACGGGAGGCAGCAGUAGGGAAUCUUCCGCAAUGGGCGAAAGCCUGACGGAGCAACGCCGCGUGAGUGAUGAAGGUCUUCGGAUCGUAAAACUCUGUUAUUAGGGAAGAACAUAUGUGUAAGUAACUGUGCACAUCUUGACGGUACCUAAUCUGAAAGCCACGGCUAACUACGUG
RNAcentral lists this ribosomal RNA (497 nucleotides) under uncultured bacterium. RNAcentral's name for it is "partial 16S ribosomal RNA". It matches the Rfam family "Bacterial small subunit ribosomal RNA", at positions 28 to 507 of the family's 1533-position model. The record is from RNAcentral.